RNAcentral lists this ribosomal RNA (329 nucleotides) under uncultured bacterium. RNAcentral's name for it is "partial 16S ribosomal RNA". It matches the Rfam family "Bacterial small subunit ribosomal RNA", at positions 355 to 701 of the family's 1533-position model. The record is from RNAcentral.
UGGGGAAUAUUGGACAAUGGGGGCAACCCUGAUCCAGCAAUGCCGCGUGUGUGAAGAAGGUCUUCGGAUUGUAAAGCACUUUCGACGGGGACGAUGAUGACGGUACCCGUAGAAGAAGCCCCGGCUAACUUCGUGCCAGCAGCCGCGGUAAUACGAAGGGGGCUAGCGUUGCUCGGAAUGACUGGGCGUAAAGGGCGUGUAGGCGGUUUACACAGUCAGAUGUGAAAUCCCCGGGCUUAACCUGGGAGCUGCAUUUGAUACGUGUAGACUAGAGUGUGAGAGAGGGUUGUGGAAUUCCCAGUGUAGAGGUGAAAUUCGUAGAUAUCGGG